GGCCAGGAAGGACCAGAGGACUCGCCAUCCUUAUGAUAGGAGGAACAAGGGGAGGGGCCAAGGACGCCAGCAACCAGCACGCCGGGAAUACAAUCGCCCGCCUAAGCACAAGUUUGUUAUGGGAUUGGCGGACCUGAUCGCCAUUCCCAAUAUAUCUGCUAGGUUGAAAGCGCCUGAGAAGGUGGGUGACAAGGUGCUGGGACCAAAGCCAGACGCCUGGUGUGAGUUUCACCAGGGCUUUGGCCACACUUUGGACUCGUGUUUGUCCUUAGGGUAUCAGCUCGAUGAUCUGGUUAAGAGCGGGUUCCUAAAUGACUAUCUGCUGGACAGAAGAACGGGGGGAGCGUCGAGUUCCCAGCCAGCAGGUGGAGAAGCCCAGCAACACGAGAUGCCCAUCCACGGGGAAAUCCACACCAUCGCAGGAGGCUUCUCAGGUGGUGGAUGCACCGCAUCGCAGAGGAAGAAGUACGCGCGGUCGGUGAUGACAGUGGAUAUGUUUGAAUAUCACUCGCCGGAGGUGGACAUUACGUUCACCAAGCAGGAUCUUCGGGACGUUGUGCCCCAUGACAACGAUCCCAUAGUCAUUUCGUUGAUUACGGCGGGAAGGAAGGUCCACAGAGUUCUGGUGGACCAGGGAAGCUCGGCAGACGUGAUGUUCUGGUCGACUUUCACGCAGCUGGAAUUGCCCCUUGACCAGCUAAGGCCCUAUGGAGGGUGCCUAUAUGGGUUCGCUGGCGACCAGGUGGAGGUCAGGGGGUACAUUGAGUUGAGAACCACGUUUACAGACGAGGCUGGUUCGAGGACGGAGAAAAUCAAGUACCUCAUUGUAAACGCCCCUUCAGCAUACAACAUCCUGUUGGGAAGGCCCACGCUUAACAGGAUAGGCACUAUACCGUCGACUCGGCACAUGAAGGUGAAGUUGCCG
Molecule: long non-coding RNA, 925 nt
Filed under: Phaseolus vulgaris (common bean)
Lineage: Eukaryota; Viridiplantae; Streptophyta; Magnoliopsida; Fabales; Fabaceae
Description: long non-coding RNA (PVUL_LNC002087)
Source: RNAcentral